Long non-coding RNA from Dioscorea cayenensis subsp. rotundata (Guinea yam), 1559 nucleotides. RefSeq lists it as uncharacterized. Lineage: Eukaryota; Viridiplantae; Streptophyta; Magnoliopsida; Dioscoreales; Dioscoreaceae. The transcript has 5 exons. The record is from RefSeq and is a predicted model, not a curated record.
UAUUGGCCCUUUCAGCUUAUGCCCUUUUUGCUAGCUUGAAGAGGAAACUGCUAAUCAUAUUAUUUGGUCUUGCUCUAAGACAGCUGGUUCUUGGAUCUCUAUCCUUCAUUCUAUUGGCCUUUUUGCUAAUGAUCCCACUUUCCUCUCCUUUGGAUCUUGGCUGACUUUCCAGAAAUUCUCUAGAUCUAGCUGUGCUUGGGCCAGAGCUCUUAUCGCUUCUCUGGCCUGGCUCACUUGGAAAGAGAGGUGCAAUGUCAUUUUUAAGAAGCUGCAACCCAGAUUUGAUUCCCUCACAGCCAGAGCUACUUCUAUUUGUUCUGAUUUUUUCUUUGCUUCUGGCAAGAUCUACAGGGUGUUCUCUAAGCCACUCUCUCCACUUACCACCUCCCUCUCGAUUUCUAUUUUUACUGAUACCUCUUGGUCUUCAUGAAUAAACAUUUAUGGGCUGGGGUUUAUUAUUCUCACUUCUUAUGGUCAAAUCUUGCUUGCAGGAUCUCUGGGCGAUGUCCAUCCUUCCCCGCUGGCUAUUGAACUAGAUGCUAUGGCUUUGGCCUUGGAAGCUUGCUUGGAGCGCUGCUGGACUCCCUCUUAGAUCUGCUGUGACUGCCCUGGGAUUAUCAAUCUGAUUGAGAACCAUCAUCCUUGCAUUGCUUGGAAAUUCAACACUAAAGCUCAAAAGCUCAAGAAUCUUCUUAAGUGCUUCCCUGAUAUCGCUCUUUUCUCCAUUCCUCGGGAAGAUAAUAACAUUGCUGACGAGCUUGCCUUUUUUGGCAAACUUAAUCCUCAACACUCCCUUUAAUUUCUCCAGGGAUUCGAACUGUCCAGGAUGGCUUCUCGAACUCUGCCUAGCCAUAAACCUGUUUCUUUCUUCUUAUUUUCUUAGCUUCUGGCUCUUACUCUCAAAAAAGAAAAUCAUCUAUGCCACCUCACCUUUCCCAAUCUUAACUUUGGUUAGAUUUUCUCAUUUUUGGCCUUUCUUGCUUAGCAUCCGUGGGGCUCCAUCAUCCGUCUCUUCAACUAUGGCUUCAUUCCCAUCCCUUUCUAUCCCCUUACUGCAAUUUUGUGAGUCUCACCAGCCCACGUCUUCGUCACAAACACCCAGCUGAAGUUCACCUAGCCCAUGAAGCUCGUUAGUGCAACAACAAGAGGCAAGGAUGGUGAAGGAUUUCUAUGAGAUGUCUAUGGUUGAAGUCUAGCACUAGCAGAGAUGAAGAUGCACACAUGAAAGUCUAACACCGAGGUGACGGAGAAGGAGAUCAUCGACGAGGCAGUGAAUUGGAAGGAUGAUGCUGGUCACACUUGGGUGAAGUAAGGAAUUUUGAUUUUAAUAAAGCCUGGAAGAUAGAAGAAAAAUAAAAAGUAAAACAAGAAAUGGAGACAAGCCACACUAAAACUAGAAGUCGCUAGCCGAGGCCGCUUUUUCCAUCUAAUUAGGAAGCUCUAUUCCCAUAUGGAAAAAAGACACAUGGAUUUCUCAGAGCAAAGUUGCCAAGUUCAUCUGCCAUCCAAUUCAGGUGCCUGGGUUUCUCGAGUGCUCUUGUUUUAAGAGGUUGAGUUCC